ACUGCCUCUAGAUGAAUUGCAGGUAUGGCUCCUGUGUUAUAUGUGCCUCAAUAAGUACCAGAGAGGAGACAGGCUGUGUCUGUACACUCAAUAUUUUGACGUGUGAACAGCUGAAUGAUUAGUAGCCCAACAUU
Molecule: small nucleolar RNA, 134 nt
Organism: Apodemus sylvaticus (European woodmouse)
Lineage: Eukaryota; Metazoa; Chordata; Mammalia; Rodentia; Muridae
Product: small nucleolar RNA SNORA17
Exons: 1
Source: RefSeq, a predicted model, not a curated record